AUUCAAUUAGUUUAAUAAUAAAAUAUUAGAUUGUGGAUUUAAAGAAAUAAUUAUAUAUUGAAUA
RNAcentral lists this transfer RNA (64 nucleotides) under Gaeana maculata. RNAcentral's name for it is "tRNA-His". Lineage: Eukaryota; Metazoa; Arthropoda; Insecta; Hemiptera; Cicadidae. The record is from RNAcentral.